Long non-coding RNA from Brienomyrus brachyistius, 4536 nucleotides. RefSeq lists it as uncharacterized. The transcript is spliced from 3 exons. NCBI's taxonomy places the organism in Eukaryota, Metazoa, Chordata, Actinopteri, Osteoglossiformes, Mormyridae. The record is from RefSeq and is a predicted model, not a curated record.
AUAUUCCGUACUGCUUGUCCAUUUCUGGGUCACGGGGAUCCGAAGUCUAUUCCGGAAAACAACUCAAGAAAGAAGAAGUUCCUGUGUACUGUACACUACAACUUGAGUAUCUCCAUGCCCACACUGCAUUCCACUCUGAAAGCAACCUCUGGAAGCAACCUCUCCUGCACAGCUCGAAACUAGCCCAGGGUCCAAACAGAGCAACAGCGAGUUACAGACAGGGCAAGAGGCAGAAAGGAUCUUGUGGGGACUGGAGCAACAUCAAAGCCCUACAAUGACGGAAACCCCAGCGUGAGAACUGCCAUGUUGGUGAGGGUAAUUCAAAGACAUGCAUAGUUAAAAUGCAACCAUGUGUGUUGUAUGAUCAAGCAGGUUUAGAUAUCGCAGCAAAAAACAAGGGUCUCACAAUUAGAGGUAUGACGAAAAGGAUUAUCACAUGGAUGACAUGACGGGACAGGAACUUUAUGCGUGGGGGGGACGUGAAUGUAGAGAGACGUAGCAAAAGCAGGAAGCGGAACAAAAACUUAAGACCGGUUUCUGCAUCAGCCGAAGAAGCAUGUACACAUGGAUCUGGGCUACAUGGGAUCUUAUAUACCAAUGGGGAAAACACAGGAGAAAUAGAUGACUUGCCUGUCACUUUAUUUUUCAAGUAUUCCCUUCUGAAUAAUCGUGGGUAUUGUAUAUUUUUCAUAUUAGAAAGAUACAAAAUAUUUCACGACGAUUCCUGUACUGUAUAUGGUUACCCGUAUGGACUUGUUUUAGGGCAUGUCCGUGUGACUAACAUGCACCGACAUAAAACAAAAAACAACAGUAUUACCAUGAGUGCCAAAACAUCUGAUCAGUCUGAGCAAUCUCAGAAGUGCCAGUAGCAGGCUGCUAACAUGGGGGAAGGAGGGCAGGGCGGUGACUGAAUAAAUUGUCCAAUCAUUGUUCAGCAGACAUGUCACCAAUAUGUCAAUAUGUCUUAGUUGUUCUCAUUGGAUGAUUAUUUGCUUUUUUUGGCUGGGCAGGACUGACGCAUGACUAACAUUACACAGGGGAGUCUCAACACCAAAAUGAAAUAAUUUGUGCAUUAAAAGGUACUUUUGUGCAUAUGUAUGCGUGGGGAACUCAUUACACUGUUAACUUUCCAGCCCCUCCUCAGUACAAAAACUACUAACCCCUGUGAAAAUGUGUUGUUUAUUAUUAAUUAACAUGGUGUUUGUCAAGGACCAAGCGUAGUCAGCCCUAUUCAAUACAAAGGGGUUUCCGGGUAACAUGAAGCUUGGAUACCCAUCUCACAUCCUCUUUUUUGCUCUUGUCUAGCUAGACCGUGACUUGAUAGACUUUGUAUUCACUGUGCGACAUGAGGAGAAUCACCCAUUAUCCAUCCACUUUCCAAACCGCUUAUCCUACUGGGUCGCGGGGGGUCCGUAGCCUUUCCCGAAAGCUAUGGGCAUGAGGCAGGGAGCAACCCAGGAUGGGGGGCCAGCCCAUCGCAGGGCACACUCACACACCAUUCAACUCGAGUUCCCUCAGCACAUUGCCAAGAUCAUACUCCGACCUGAUAUGGUCCUGGUAACAGAGAGUGUGGUCAUGCUGGAACUUACCAUGCCAUGGGAUGAGCAUGUUGAGGAGGCCUAUGAGUGGAAGAGAGAGAAGCCAAUCAAUGAAUGCCACAGAUAAGAGGUCGGGGAGUAGAGGGUUUGCAGAACAGUCCUUAGCAGGACAUGCCCUGCAUCAUAGGGGAAUGGAGAAGGUGAGCUAUGGCAACAGCACAGAGACUGCAGAGAAAGCUUCCAGACGGCUUUGGAUGAAGAGGGCAGAUCCAUGGGAGAUCGCUGCUAGGGUACGAGCUGAGGCCUGAUGAACCUCAGCUGGGUCUCCUGGGUGAGGAUCUCUGAUGCUCGAAAGACCCGAAACUCCCAUGUUCAAAUGACCCCAGGUAACAUCGCCGAUGAUGUAUCCUAGCUUAGCACCAGUACAUGCAUGACUGUAGUCAGACCCCGAUUUACCCCACCCCCAUUUACCUUACAGACGCACUAAGCGCAGUAACUUAUCUGAUAAUUGAGGCGUGGGAAUUUUUUUCAUCUAGAUCUUAAAGAGAAUUAUGCAUCUGUUAGUCAUUAGAACUAAAACGAAAGUACAUGUUAUUUGAGACAGUUAGUCGUUAGUCAUGGUGCACUUUAGAUGAGCUUUAACUGGAUUCUUACUCAUUAUUAAUAUGUAUACCUCACACAGCAUAAUGGUUAAGUAAAAUGGUAAAUUAGCAAAGAAAGAAAAACAAAAAUAUUGUUCUCAAGGUGAGAUUAAUUUGAAAAUUGAUGCUACUUUAAUAUUUUAAUUGGAAAUGGAUAAACUACAAUUCAUUUGGUACCACUUUAUAAUUAGGCUCCCUUUUGCAUUUAUAAAUAGUAGUAACUCAUUAAUAAAUAACUGUGUAGUAACUUGUUUAUAAUUGUCUAUUGAUGAUACAAAGUGUAAUGUAAUUAAUAACAUGAUUAUAAACCAUUCAUAAACCCUUUAUAAGGUAGUCUCAUUGUGAAGUAGUACCAUUCAUUUGAAUCGCAAUUGAUGCACACGCACUGAUAUUCUCUUGUCCUCAAUCCACCCUGCAGUUGACUGAAAAAAACACCAUUUUCACAUUCAGAAAGGUCAGGCUAACCACUAUGAAGAAGGUUAAAUACCAAAUAUUUCCCUUGCAGGCUGUCAGUACAAUUUGCCGUUAUUUUCACGAAUGAAAAUAUUUGAGCUUGCAGUUACCGAUGAUAAGAAUAUGAUUUUAUUUGAUGAUUGAACAUUAUUAGCGAAUUACUGAGAGCUUUUUUCAUUUUAUUUCCCAUAGCCCUGAAGGUCUUGUAGAUCAGUGGGUAAAAAAAGCCAAGAUAUUCACAGCCUAAGAACACAAAAUGUGACAGAUGUGUUGGGGAUCAAAUAUGUUAUUACAGCAUCACAUUUUCCACCAUGUAAAUAUGUCCGUUGGCAGUUUUACACGUACAACCAAACCACAAUCUAUUGGUCUGACCAUGCUGAGGCCAGUAGCACAGUGAGAUCACUUCAGUGAUGGAACCCACAGCAUGGCUGGGAAGCCAAUCAUACCCUCCUCUGCACUAACGACAGAAACUAACGUUCCUCCCACAACGUCAGUUUCUUUGGUCGCUUCGACAGAGGCAACAAGAACACUACAAGGGGAAUGCUGUCAACCGCAAAGGACCCCCCACCCCACCCCCAUUUACCUUACAGACGCACUAAGUGAAGUGGGUACUCAGGAACUCUAGGAAGACCACAGCACCUGCUGGAGGACUGUGCUGCUCCGCUAGCUGACACGUUCACUAGCAUCUUUAACGUGUCCCUGUCACGGGCAGCAGGCCCAAUACGCCUUAAGACAGCCACCAUUGUAACAGUGCCAAAGAUAACCGCUGCCAAGGGUCUUAACACACCCCUGGCACUACCAAUUGAUCUUCCUGUCCUCUGGAAAGCCCUAUGCGAAUAUUUAUUCAUGCACUUCCAGACUGAGGAAUAGUGUUUCUUGCAAAGCCAUAAAGCAUCUUAACCUGGGAAGAAACAACAAACUUACUACACCCCCGCAAGCAUUCUGUGUGCGCUCCUCUGUCAGCUUGCUCCCCACCAAACAGCUGACUGUUACGCCCGGUUCGUGAGAUCCUCCUGUGUGCCACGCCCCCCAUUUACCUCCUGUGAAAUCCUGAUUGCUCACAUAAAACCCACAUUUUGGACUCCUUGCCUGCCUGACUGGUAAUUCCCCGCUUGCUGCUUGCACGCCGGAUGCCAGUCGUAACGCUGACGUUCCCCUGCAUAUCUCGACCAAGAGGAUACUCUGUUAUGACCCAAGACAGGCUCUCGAUGGACCCUCAUUGGACUGAUUCACUACCAAAUUAUCUAACAUCCUGUUACAUAUUUAUAGCAUUGCUAAUUUUUAAUCUCAUGUUGUUGUAUUUACAAUGCUGCUAAAUGGAAUAUAUGGUUGCAGUACUGUAUGUUAGAUCAUUCUACGUCUUUAUUUGUUUGUUUAUGUAACAUUGGUGGGAAAGCAUGCAAAGUUCCAUUAUAUGUAUACAAUGACAAUAAAUAUAUUCUGAUCUAUGGUCAUUGGCGUGGGUAAUGAGUAACUGCGGAAUUUGAUAAAUAACCUGCUUUCCGUUAGAUAGACUGAAUACUCAAAGGGGUCAUCUUGCUAAAAUCCUGUAUAAUAAUGGCCAGACAUUUGAAAAAAUCUUUAAGUAAGUUGGGAAAUGUCCAUAUUGUUUGGUUAUUAUGCAGUUAUAAAGAUGAAUUUAAAAGGCAUUUAUCAUUUCUACAGAGGUACCAACUUUCGACAAUUGACAAAUAUGGGCCUCGUCUAAAGGUGUAGAGUCUUUCUUUGCCCAAUAGGUGACAUAGUUUUGCUUUGUAAACACUGCUGUAGCACCUGUAUCGUAGUUUACAGGGACUUCAAUGUCCUAUUGCCCUGUGUUUCUGACUAGAUUCAACUAGCUUUUGGGAAGGCAGUUAGCUCACAAUAAACAGACAUUUUACAUGUAUCGAAGCAGCAGUACCAAA